This 2925-nucleotide ribosomal RNA is filed under the name Staphylococcus aureus. RNAcentral describes it as "23S ribosomal RNA". It matches the Rfam family "Bacterial large subunit ribosomal RNA". The record is from RNAcentral. Lineage: Bacteria; Bacillati; Bacillota; Bacilli; Caryophanales; Staphylococcaceae.
UAGAUUAAGUUAUUAAGGGCGCACGGUGGAUGCCUUGGCACUAGAAGCCGAUGAAGGACGUUACUAACGACGAUAUGCUUUGGGGAGCUGUAAGUAAGCUUUGAUCCAGAGAUUUCCGAAUGGGGAAACCCAGCAUGAGUUAUGUCAUGUUAUCGAUAUGUGAAUACAUAGCAUAUCAGAAGGCACACCCGGAGAACUGAAACAUCUUAGUACCCGGAGGAAGAGAAAGAAAAUUCGAUUCCCUUAGUAGCGGCGAGCGAAACGGGAAGAGCCCAAACCAACAAGCUUGCUUGUUGGGGUUGUAGGACACUCUAUACGGAGUUACAAAGGACGACAUUAGACGAAUCAUCUGGAAAGAUGAAUCAAAGAAGGUAAUAAUCCUGUAGUCGAAAAUGUUGUCUCUCUUGAGUGGAUCCUGAGUACGACGGAGCACGUGAAAUUCCGUCGGAAUCUGGGAGGACCAUCUCCUAAGGCUAAAUACUCUCUAGUGACCGAUAGUGAACCAGUACCGUGAGGGAAAGGUGAAAAGCACCCCGGAAGGGGAGUGAAAUAGAACCUGAAACCGUGUGCUUACAAGUAGUCAGAGCCCGUUAAUGGGUGAUGGCGUGCCUUUUGUAGAAUGAACCGGCGAGUUACGAUUUGAUGCAAGGUUAAGCAGUAAAUGUGGAGCCGUAGCGAAAGCGAGUCUGAAUAGGGCGUUUAGUAUUUGGUCGUAGACCCGAAACCAGGUGAUCUACCCUUGGUCAGGUUGAAGUUCAGGUAACACUGAAUGGAGGACCGAACCGACUUACGUUGAAAAGUGAGCGGAUGAACUGAGGGUAGCGGAGAAAUUCCAAUCGAACCUGGAGAUAGCUGGUUCUCUCCGAAAUAGCUUUAGGGCUAGCCUCAAGUGAUGAUUAUUGGAGGUAGAGCACUGUUUGGACGAGGGGCCCCUCUCGGGUUACCGAAUUCAGACAAACUCCGAAUGCCAAUUAAUUUAACUUGGGAGUCAGAACAUGGGUGAUAAGGUCCGUGUUCGAAAGGGAAACAGCCCAGACCACCAGCUAAGGUCCCAAAAUAUAUGUUAAGUGGAAAAGGAUGUGGCGUUGCCCAGACAACUAGGAUGUUGGCUUAGAAGCAGCCAUCAUUUAAAGAGUGCGUAAUAGCUCACUAGUCGAGUGACACUGCGCCGAAAAUGUACCGGGGCUAAACAUAUUACCGAAGCUGUGGAUUGUCCUUUGGACAAUGGUAGGAGAGCGUUCUAAGGGCGUUGAAGCAUGAUCGUAAGGACAUGUGGAGCGCUUAGAAGUGAGAAUGCCGGUGUGAGUAGCGAAAGACGGGUGAGAAUCCCGUCCACCGAUUGACUAAGGUUUCCAGAGGAAGGCUCGUCCGCUCUGGGUUAGUCGGGUCCUAAGCUGAGGCCGACAGGCGUAGGCGAUGGAUAACAGGUUGAUAUUCCUGUACCACCUAUAAUCGUUUUAAUCGAUGGGGGGACGCAGUAGGAUAGGCGAAGCGUGCGAUUGGAUUGCACGUCUAAGCAGUAAGGCUGAGUAUUAGGCAAAUCCGGUACUCGUUAAGGCUGAGCUGUGAUGGGGAGAAGACAUUGUGUCUUCGAGUCGUUGAUUUCACACUGCCGAGAAAAGCCUCUAGAUAGAAAAUAGGUGCCCGUACCGCAAACCGACACAGGUAGUCAAGAUGAGAAUUCUAAGGUGAGCGAGCGAACUCUCGUUAAGGAACUCGGCAAAAUGACCCCGUAACUUCGGGAGAAGGGGUGCUCUUUAGGGUUAACGCCCAGAAGAGCCGCAGUGAAUAGGCCCAAGCGACUGUUUAUCAAAAACACAGGUCUCUGCUAAACCGUAAGGUGAUGUAUAGGGGCUGACGCCUGCCCGGUGCUGGAAGGUUAAGAGGAGUGGUUAGCUUCUGCGAAGCUACGAAUCGAAGCCCCAGUAAACGGCGGCCGUAACUAUAACGGUCCUAAGGUAGCGAAAUUCCUUGUCGGGUAAGUUCCGACCCGCACGAAAGGCGUAACGAUUUGGGCACUGUCUCAACGAGAGACUCGGUGAAAUCAUAGUACCUGUGAAGAUGCAGGUUACCCGCGACAGGACGGAAAGACCCCGUGGAGCUUUACUGUAGCCUGAUAUUGAAAUUCGGCACAGCUUGUACAGGAUAGGUAGGAGCCUUUGAAACGUGAGCGCUAGCUUACGUGGAGGCGCUGGUGGGAUACUACCCUAGCUGUGUUGGCUUUCUAACCCGCACCACUUAUCGUGGUGGGAGACAGUGUCAGGCGGGCAGUUUGACUGGGGCGGUCGCCUCCUAAAAGGUAACGGAGGCGCUCAAAGGUUCCCUCAGAAUGGUUGGAAAUCAUUCAUAGAGUGUAAAGGCAUAAGGGAGCUUGACUGCGAGACCUACAAGUCGAGCAGGGUCGAAAGACGGACUUAGUGAUCCGGUGGUUCCGCAUGGAAGGGCCAUCGCUCAACGGAUAAAAGCUACCCCGGGGAUAACAGGCUUAUCUCCCCCAAGAGUUCACAUCGACGGGGAGGUUUGGCACCUCGAUGUCGGCUCAUCGCAUCCUGGGGCUGUAGUCGGUCCCAAGGGUUGGGCUGUUCGCCCAUUAAAGCGGUACGCGAGCUGGGUUCAGAACGUCGUGAGACAGUUCGGUCCCUAUCCGUCGUGGGUGUAGGAAAUUUGAGAGGAGCUGUCCUUAGUACGAGAGGACCGGGAUGGACAUACCUCUGGUGUACCAGUUGUCGUGCCAACGGCAUAGCUGGGUAGCUAUGUGUGGACGGGAUAAGUGCUGAAAGCAUCUAAGCAUGAAGCCCCCCUCAAGAUGAGAUUUCCCAACUUCGGUUAUAAGAUCCCUCAAAGAUGAUGAGGUUAAUAGGUUCGAGGUGGAAGCAUGGUGACAUGUGGAGCUGACGAAUACUAAUCGAUCGAAGACUUAAUCAA